Non-coding RNA from Drosophila virilis, 6151 nucleotides. Lineage: Eukaryota; Metazoa; Arthropoda; Insecta; Diptera; Drosophilidae. The record is from RefSeq and is a predicted model, not a curated record.
AGCUAUACAUAUAAUGAAUAUUUAUUUUAUUUGUACAUUUUACUAUAAUUAAAUAAACUGAGUAGUCCGUUUUGGUGAAUGAUGCCGCCGCGUCGGGGCUUGACCGUGUGUAGACCCCCCGACGCCGACGACGUUGAUGAUGGCAGAACUUUAUGUAAUGUUUUUAGAAUGUAUGUUCCGUUAAAAACUACAAAAUAAAAAAAAAAUCAUAUAAUACUAAAUAUUAACCGCGACUCUAUUUUCAAUUGCAUACAAGUGCGUGUGUGUGAGUGUUUGUGUGUGUAUGCAAGUGCGUGCGUGUGUGUGUGUGCGUUUGCCGCGUUGAAAUGAACGAUGACGUGGACGACGACGUCGACGUCGACGUCGACGCCGACGAUGCAGCCGUCGCCUAAAUCGCUGCUGUCUGUCUGCCUAUGUGUGUGUGUGUUUGUGCUUGUGCGUGCAUGUGUGUGUGUGUUGCUGUGCCAAAUGGCUAUGGCAAAAUAAAACUAAAGCAGCUGUUUCCGGUAUUUGAUUGAUAGUGAACUGGCAGUUUGUUUAUCUCGCGCACACGGACCGACCGGAGACCCGCCUGCUGCUGUUGCUGCUCCAGCCGCAGCCACAGGCGCAGCUACAACCGAUGCCGCUGACGCUGCCCCUGGCCAUUUCUCUCUCACUCGAUUAUGCUGCACACGCAUCACAUGGCAUGGAUGGGCCAAUCCAGUGGCAAACGUCGCUGCUGCCGCCGCCGUCGCCGCUGCUGCUGCUGCAUUUUGCGGAUGCUAUUUGGGGCCGCUGUUCGUCGGCGCACUUAUUUUUAAAUUACUGAAAAUGUUGCAAGCGCACACAAGCAUGGGCACACACACACACACUCAUUCAAUUUAAAUUUAACUGCAAAAUAUUUCACUCACACUGGAAGGGAGGCAGCAGCAAUAAUAACAGCAACAGCAGCAACAACAACAGCAAUUUCUUGGCUUGCGCUCUCUCAUCCCACACUCUCUCUCUCACACACACUCUCUGAGAGAACAGCUGUUUGCCUUGCAAGCUGAGCUUAGUUAGGCCUAAGCACGACACGACGUGUUGGACACGUGCAAGUUGUAUGACAGCGGAGCAAAGAGUUUGUGUUUAUUAGUUAUUUCCAUUUGCUGCUGUUGUUGUUGUUGUUGUUGUUAAUUAAUGCAAAGUGCAGUAACCGUUUUGCAUAAUUGACUGGCAAGCGACUGCGGCUGCGACCCUCGUUGUGGGCACAUUAUUCAAUCAUAAUUCGCGCGGUCAGUCAAACCAACCCAACGCAAAUUUCAAACGCUCUUCACUUGAGCGAGUGUCUGUGUGUGUGUGUGUGUGUGCAUGUGUGUUUGUGUGCGUGCAUGUUUGUCGCCGCUGAUAGCCCCACAGUUCGCCGGGUCACCUUUGCCUAUGCAAAAAAAAAAAAAUAAAAACAAAAUUUAACUGUAAUCAGCGGCGACUUUGCGGCACACUACACACCCAACAAACAAACUGAGAUGGCGAACGGGUCUGAUAAGCGCACGAGACCUGCCAAUUCGCUUCAAACUGGUCUUUGCCUCAUCGCUGUCCUCGCCUCUGCCUCUGCCUCUGCCUCUGUCGCUGCCGCUGCCAUUGUCGCUGCCUCCUAUCUCUGUCGCUGUCGCUGAUUGACACAGUUUGGGUCGCUUUCUUAUAUUGAUGAAUGGAAACCGAACUGAAACGUUGGCACAGCAUUUUUUUUUAUUGAAGUGUGCUAUAUUUAACGAAGCGAGUAGAUGGCAUGCAAGUAUUGCCAUUUGAGUAACUGUAUUGGCUCGCCUGCUGCUCUCUCAAUAACCGCAGCACACACACACACACACACACGCACACGCACGCACUGACAGCUCUAAUGAAUGAAGUUGAUAAGAGACGAACAAAGUGAGCUGCUGCAACGGUUGCCAAGUGCCUUGCCAUGGUAAAUGGAUUGAACGGGCCAGUUCGAAUAACUGCAAAUGCACCUCUUUAUUUGCAUGUGUGUGUGUGUGUAAAUUGAGAGCUUUUGAAAUUCGGCACCCAAAAGCUGAGAUACUAACCGUAAAUAAUGCCAAAUUGCAGCAGUAAACACAGAUAAGUUCAGCUGCAGAUUCGUGAAUAUAAAUAUAAACAAUUGGAAUAUUUAGAAAAUAAAUAAAUCUCAAGUAUAUCUCAACAAGUGCACACGAAUAUAUACAUACAUAUAAAUUUAUAUAAAUGUGUGAGUUAUGGACUGUUCGACCUUAACCCUAUUGCAAAUCUAUUGGAACGAUCUUGAGUCGAAAUAUUAUAUGGAGAUGCGAGGAAGCUAGCCAAACUGCAGGACUUAGCACAGGCCCAUCGUCGUUGUGUGUGGCUUGUUGUUGUUGUUGUUGGCUUGUCUCGUUUAUUGAUCGUGUUGCUGUGCACACACAACGCCACACACACACACACACACACACACACACACAGGCGACGCACACGCACAGUUGCAGUUACAUACGCAAUUCAAUGAAGAAAUGCUCCAAGUCCAAGUCAAUGACCCGGAAAUUGUGUCUAAAAAAGCAGCAACAACAACAACAACAGCUACACCCAGCAGAAGCAACAGUCACGCAGCCAGGCAAUAACAACAACAACAACAACAGCAACAGCAACAACAACAACAACAGCAUCACAUUGACGACUUCAGUAUAAAACUUUUACCUAUUCAGCAGCGCAUGCGGCUGCGCCAACUGCACUGCGCCGCAGUCCAAUGAACCAGCCACGCAUUUGCUGCCCGCAGCUUUUGCCAGAGCUGCGAUUGCAACAGCAACAACAACAACAGCACGCGUCGAUAACUCGCGACAACUGCACACUGAGCAACAACAACAACAACAACAACAAGAACAAGAGAAAAAAAAAAACAAGAACAACUGCAACAAAGUCGACAUCGACAAUCAAAAUCAACGCAAUUAAUGCUCAUCCGGCUGGCAAAGCGCAGCUCCACAGUGAGCCCUUGGCAUGUUGUACAAUUUUCAUAGCCGCCAGGGUUGCCAGGUCACAUGUCUAAUAUGCAUAAAUAUAACAUAUUGUGCAUGUGUCGCUCCGUCUCUAUGAUAUAUGUAUAUAGGCUUUGAUCAAUUUUUAUUGCAUAAAAUGUGUAUCGAAAAAAAUUAAGCACAAAAGUUCAGUGCCAGCGGGCAUGUCGGCCCAAUCGAACCGCAGUGGCAAUCCCCUUACUUAUAAUGAGAAUUUAUGUGCUGACACGAUGCGCACACAACAUUUAUAAUCUUGCAAAGAAGAAGAAUAUGCAAGCUACAAUUACACUGCGCUACAAAAGUAUAACACAUUUAUCCAUCAUACUUGAGCAUAAAACUUAUCGCUAAAUUUCAAUAAGUUAGGUUAUGUUUGUUUAUGUUAGGUUAGGUUAGCUUAAGUGAGGUUAUGUUCACAUCUGCUGCCAGCCUUAAUAUAAUUCUUAGAGUUCUUUAAAACUAAUCAAUAAUUCAAUCAAAUUCAAUUCAAACGCAAAACUUAUAUUCAAACAUUCUCUUCUUUUCUUCCAGUUAGAUUGGCUGACUAGCCCCCAUUGCCAGUGCUGCCCAUUGCAAUGCAGAACGCAUCUAAUUUUCGACAGCAGCAAGUGCCACACACACACACGCAUACGCACAAUUGUGAAUCACUUGCAUAUUGUUGGCGGGUCAAAGUUGCCGCAAGUCUCACGACACAAUUCCGGCGUGCCCCCAAGACGAAUUGCAGCAGAUGCGUCGUUGAAACGAGGCCGCAGCCUGCAAUUUGGAACAGGGCAACCUUAGAUCUGUUGGGAAUCGCCCAGAGCAAUAUGUAUAUACUAUAUAUAUGUUAUAUAUAUAUAUAUAUGUGCUUAAAAGGAACUUUUUACUGGCGCUGCUUUUAUUUUCGCAUUUAAUGCAAUUAACCUCAAACUAAAUGGCAAUCACUUUAAUUUGUUUUAAUUAAGCUUUAUAUGCCUACAAGUGUGUCAGCCGGCGGGCGGGGCAGGGUUGCGAGCAGGGGAGGCAUUCCAAAAACAACGCCUACGUUGGCUGUUUAAUGACGUGUGAGGGAAAGAGAUUAAGACAGAGCGAGAGAGGGGAGAGAGAGAAUGCUUUCUAUUCGGAUUGACUGUGUGCAAGAGGGAAAGAGAGAGAGAGAGAGAUGUAGAUAGUACUUUUUAUUGACCCUCUAAGAGUUGGAGACAACAUUCCUGAGAACAAUAUGAUGAAAGAGAGAGAGAGAGAGAGAGAGAGAGAGAAAGAGAGAGUUCUGGCACACAAACUUGAAGAUAAUCUUCCUGGUGGCACUAUGAGCAUGUAUGCGAGAGAGAGAAAGAGACAGCGCUUUUCAUCCACCCUGUAAGAGUUGGAGAUAACAUAAAAGAAGAGGAUGGGCAUUGAGUACGCGCACUAAGUGGAUCCUUGACAUGUUCACGGAAUCGAGCACAAAAGGAGCCCGGAACGCAUGCGCGCGCACACGCAGCACUCGCUACUUAAGGAACGCUUAACGGAUGUUUCUCUGGGCACUUGUAACCCAAACGCCCGACAUUUGUUUCCUACAGAUCUGGUUUGGGCCUGAGCCCUAGCAACAGCCAGCCACGCCGGCUCUUGAGUCGCGUACGUGCCCAGAUGCGUGGGAAUGAUGUGGGACAACGAACGAGGGCGGCAACAGUCACUGCAUGGAGAGGGAGGGGCGGGCGAUAGGCUAGGGAAGAGGCGUGCUGGAGAGUGGACUCAAAGCGGGUAUACUCGAUCGAAAUUUGAGACUUCUUAAUGCGCCAAAUUAUAUGCGGCGACAGCAAUUCAGAGCCACAUUUCGAGGCAUAUUGACAGGGCUUGGGUCCUGCCAGCUUAAGAAGAAAUACGCAAGCGAAACGAUGUGAAAUUUAUGAAUGUGUACGAUUACACGAGCAUUUUCCACGGCCAUUCUGAAACGGAGGGAAACGCCGGGGGAACACGAAUGAACACGCGAUCUGCAAUCUGUGAAGGAUCACGUCUGGAAUGUGGCUUAAAUUAUGACUUAAAUGGCGUUGGCAGUUUAUGUGGCUGCCGUGUGCUGCGCCCAAUGAUCAUUAACGCGGCUCAUCAUGACGAUCGUGCUGCUUGCUGCGCUGCUUACUGCGCUGCUCGCUGCCUGCUGCUGAGUAGCGGAAACGACGCACUCGAGAGAUCUUGACUUCAAGCUGCGUCUCGUUGGCUUUCUUUCUCAAUGCUGUUUCGCCCAUUCUUAAGAGGUUCAACUCCAAUUUGGACUCAAACUCGGUCGCGCGGCUUUUUAUGACUGCCUCUCGAGUUGUUGUUGCUGUUGCUGUAAACUGGCUGCCUGAGUUUUGCUUUAUUUGGUUAGUUGACGAUAAAUUUUGCACAGUCGCACAUUCUUAGUUACAUCCUUCACAAGGUCAUGCGAGUGCGCAUAGCACACACAUACACUGUCACGCGCAUGCAUGCAUAUAUGCAUGUAUGCAUGUAUGCAUGUGUGUGUGCAUAUGUACGCAUGCUGUUGUUGUUGUUGUUGCAUUUAAGCCAAGUAAUCUUUAAGCAAAUAAUUGUAGUUGGUAUGCGGUUUCUGUUUGACUGGCCUCACUGCCCGCUCUCUGCCCCUCUGCCCGUCUGCCCCUUUGCCCGCCCGCUGUCAUCAUUUGUACACACCGGGCUGCUGCUUUAUGUUUGCACAAAUUGUUAGCGUCUGCCGCAGUCGAGAUACAGUUUGUUUUGCUUGUUGGUUCUUUUAUUUUUCAUAUUUUUUUCUCCAAGCUUUGCUUCGCAGCAUAUUCGAAAAUAUCAUAUGUAUGUGUAUGUGUGUGUGUGUGCGUUUCUCUGACUGUGUAAUGCAGGGCUACACUGGCCAGGCUUUCGAGCUCGAAUUCGAAUUCUAUUUAGCUAGGACUAUUGACUGUUCUGGCAAUUGGAAGCUCUUGCCUGCCAGUUGACAGUGUGCACCCACUUCUUGUCAAUGUUACCACCUCUUUUUUUUUAUACUCUAACUAUUCCACGUGUUGCGCCCUCCAGGUGCUGAUUAGCUGCUUGUCUGUCUGCCUUAGCCGGCGGCGUGUGGGGUGUUAAUAAGAUAUCAAAUACCCAUGUGGGCAAACUUAGAGGCAACCCAACCCGACUCUGGGCACACAAAAUCUCAGCCACAGCGCACACUAUGCUGCGCUGCUGGAAGAGUGCAACAAAAUGAACCUACACUAAACAACAAAAGU